CAAGUCGUACGUAGAAAGUUUACCUUCGGGAGAUGAGUAGAGUGGCGCACGGGUGAGUAACGCGUGGAUAAUCUACCUUAUGGAUUGGGAUAACUUUGCGAAAGCGGAGCUAAUACCGAAUGGUCUGAUUAAAUUAUUUUUUUUGGUAAAGGUGGCCUCUAUAUAUAAGCUAUCGCCAUGAGAUGAGUCCGCGUAUCAUUAGCUAGUUGGUAAGGUAAUGGCUUACCAAGGCUACGAUGAUUAGCUGGUCUGAGAGGAUGAUCAGCCACACUGGAACUGAAACACGGUCCAGACUCCUACGGGAGGCAGCAGUGGGGAAUAUUGGGCAAUGGGCGCAAGCCUGACCCAGCAACGCCGCGUGAGGGAUGAAGGUUUUCGGAUCGUAAACCUCUGUCAGAAGGGAAGAAGUGGAUUAUAUUAAAUAGAUAUAGUUUUUGACGGUACCCUCAGAGGAAGCACCGGCUAACUCCGUGCCAGCAGCCGCGGUAAUACAGAGGGUGCGAGCGUGAUACGGAAU
RNAcentral lists this ribosomal RNA (517 nucleotides) under uncultured bacterium. Its description in RNAcentral is "bacterial SSU rRNA". It matches the Rfam family "Bacterial small subunit ribosomal RNA", at positions 58 to 551 of the family's 1533-position model. The record is from RNAcentral.